AUCAUUUGAGAAACCAAGGAUGUUGAGUCUGCCAAUAAGAAUGUGGUGAUUGACAGAGUCGAAAGCCUUGGCCAGGUCGAUGAAUACGGCUGCACAGUAAUGUCUCUUAUCAAUGGCGGUUAUGAUAUCGUUUAGGACCUUAAGCGUGGCUGAGGUGCACCCAUGACCAGCUCUGAAACCAGAUUGCGUAGCGGAGAAGGUACGGUAGGAUUCAAAAUGGUCGGUGAUCGGUUUGUUAACUUGGCUUUCGAAGACCUUAGAAAGGCAGGGUAGGAUAGAUACAGGUCUGUAGCAGUUUGGGUCUAGAGUGUCACCCCCUUUGAAGAGGGGGAUGACCGCGGCAGCUUUCCAAUCUUUGGGAAUCUCAGACAAUACAAAAGAAAGGUUGAACAGGCUAAUAAUAGGGGUUGCAACAAUUUCGGCAGAUAAUUUUAGAAAGAGAGGGUCCAGAUUGUCUAGCCCAGCUGAUUUACUUUGUCUGAGAU
RNAcentral lists this long non-coding RNA (485 nucleotides) under Salmo salar (Atlantic salmon). RNAcentral describes it as "lncRNA (ENSSSAG00000095881.1, ENSSSAG00020016667.1)". Lineage: Eukaryota; Metazoa; Chordata; Actinopteri; Salmoniformes; Salmonidae. The record is from RNAcentral.